UACAAGACGGAAAGGUAGUUGGUGUAAAUUACUCCAUCAUGUAUUAUUAUACAUAAUCGUGAUGGUGUAGCGAUGACUUUGGAUCCAAAUUAGAGAAGGUUGCCCUUAUCAAUCAUCAUCAGAUUCCCAAGCGAAACCAUCUUCACUCAUUCACUCAAUCGACCACCACGGAUUCAAUCUUCAAUAGUGCUUUAAUUACACCCUAAUCUAUACGUUUCAAACUGUCCAACAGUGUUGUGACACGUAGAAUACGCUUCACCGACGAACCGUGUCACAAGCUUGAAUCUUAUUGCUGCUCCACCACUUCCAUUCUCCUAACCAGAUCGCAUCUAUUUCUUCCCUUCAAUCUCUCUCCUCGCUCUCCACCUUCUGUUUUGCAGAAGCUGCUUCCUUCACUGACAUCAUCGCUAACAGGUAUAAGUUGUAAGUAAAGACCAAAGAAAGGUAAAGUUAAGAGUUCAGAAUGGGGUUCGUGGUGGUGAUAUCGUUGCCGUUAAUAUUGAUCAUCUUGAUAUUGGCUUUGGGCUGUUACCUGUGUGGCCGGGCCAAGGGUCGGCGACAAAACCCACCGCAGUAUGGGCCUCCUGCUCCUCCACCACAGGCCCAACCCAAAUAAUGCCUACCCUUUUCUCAUUACUGUUGCUACCCUGUGGUUUGAGUUUGUUCAUCAUCAAUACUGCAGCCACUUUGGAUUGGAGUUUGAAAAUUAUUGUGUAAUUAUAUAUAUAUAUAUAUAUAUAUAUAUAUAUAUAUAUAUAUAUAUAUAUAUAUAUAUAUAUAUAUAUAUAUAUAUAUAUAUAUAUAUAUAUAUAUCAACAAAUUCAGGUUUUUUCUUGGGUAUCUACACAGUUGAUGAAAAACUAGUACAAUGGAAUGCUACGGUUCAUAGCUUAAUCUUGAAUAAAAUAGUAGAGCAUUGAAAUUUGUUUCCACGUUAGUGGGUAUAUUAGGUGAUUAAAUAUUGCCGUCCUAGUUAAUUAGUUACUCAUGUAAUUUGUUA
Vigna angularis (adzuki bean) is the source of this 1000-nucleotide long non-coding RNA. RefSeq lists it as uncharacterized. The record is from RefSeq and is a predicted model, not a curated record. The transcript is spliced from 2 exons. Lineage: Eukaryota; Viridiplantae; Streptophyta; Magnoliopsida; Fabales; Fabaceae.